CCUACGGGAGGCAGCAGUGGGGAAUAUUGCACAAUGGGGGGAACCCUGAUGCAGCAAUGCCGCGUGGGUGAAGAAGCACUCCGGUGCGUAAAGCCCUGUCAGCAGGGAAGAAAAUGACAGUACCUGGACAAGAAGCCCCGGCUAACUACGUGCCAGCAGCCGCGGUAAUACGUAGGGGGCAAGCGUUAUCCGGCUUUAAUGGUGGUAACGGGGGCGCAGGAGGCGUGGCAGGUCAGAUGUGAAAACCCGGGGCCGAACCCCGGGAGUGCAUUUGAUACUGCCAUGAUGGAGUGCCGGAGAGGUAAGCGGAAUUCCUAGUGUAGGGGUGAAAUGCGUAGAUAUUAGGAGGAACACCAGUGGCGGAGGCGGCUUACUGGACGGUAACUGACGCUGAGGCGCGAAAGCGUGGGGAGCAAACAGGAUUAGAUACCCGAGUAGUC
This 440-nucleotide ribosomal RNA is filed under the name uncultured bacterium. RNAcentral describes it as "partial 16S ribosomal RNA". It matches the Rfam family "Bacterial small subunit ribosomal RNA", at positions 338 to 795 of the family's 1533-position model. The record is from RNAcentral.